Molecule: ribosomal RNA, 568 nt
Filed under: uncultured bacterium
Lineage: Bacteria
Description: bacterial SSU rRNA
Rfam family: Bacterial small subunit ribosomal RNA
Source: RNAcentral
UCCUACGGGAGGCAGCAGUGGGGAAUAUUGCACAAUGGGCGAAAGCCUGAUGCAGCGACGCCGCGUGAGGGAUGACGGCCUUCGGGUUGUAAACCUCUUUCAGCAGGGACGAAGCGCAAGUGGCGGUACCUGCAGAAGAAGCACCGGCUAACUACGUGCCAGCAGCCGCGGUAAUACGUAGGGUGCGAGCGUUGUCCGGAAUUAUUGGGCGUAAAGAGCUCGUAGGCGGUUUGUCGCGUCGGCCGUGAAAACUUGGGGCUUAACUCCAAGCUUGCGGUCGAUACGGGCAGACUUGAGUUCGGCAGGGGAGACUGGAAUUCCUGGUGUAGCGGUGAAAUGCGCAGAUAUCAGGAGGAACACCGGUGGCGAAGGCGGGUCUCUGGGCCGAUACUGACGCUGAGGAGCGAAAGCGUGGGGAGCGAACAGGAUUAGAUACCCUGGUAGUCCACGCCGUAAACGGUGGGUGCUAGGUGUGGGGGGCUUCCACGCCCUCUGUGCCGCAGCUAACGCAUUAAGCACCCCGCCUGGGGAGUACGGCCGCAAGGCUAAAACUCAAAGGAAUUGACGG